GGGCAUAUGGCUUAGUGGUUAAAGCUUUCGGUUGAUAAUCGAAAAAUCAGAGGUUCAAAUCCUUUUAUGCCUA
This 73-nucleotide transfer RNA is filed under the name Phycisphaerae bacterium. RNAcentral's name for it is "tRNA-Ile". It matches the Rfam family "tRNA". From Rfam's summary of the family: Transfer RNA (tRNA) molecules are approximately 80 nucleotides in length. Their secondary structure includes four short double-helical elements and three loops (D, anti-codon, and T loops). The record is from RNAcentral. Lineage: Bacteria; Pseudomonadati; Planctomycetota; Phycisphaerae.